UACGUAGGGUGUAAGCGUUAAUCGGAAUUACUGGGCGUAAAGCGUGCGCAGGCGGUUUUGUAAGUCAGAUGUGAAAUCCCCGGGCUUAACCUGGGAACUGCGUUUGAAACUACAAGGCUAGAGUGUGACAGAGGGGGGUGGAAUUCCACGUGUAGCAGUGAAAUGCGUAGAGAUGUGGAGGAACACCGAUGGCGAAGGCAGCCCCCUGGGUUAACACUGACGCUCAGGCACGAAAGCGUGGGGAGCAAACAGG
RNAcentral lists this ribosomal RNA (253 nucleotides) under uncultured bacterium. RNAcentral describes it as "partial 16S ribosomal RNA". It matches the Rfam family "Bacterial small subunit ribosomal RNA", at positions 524 to 776 of the family's 1533-position model. The record is from RNAcentral.